This 665-nucleotide long non-coding RNA is filed under the name Chrysemys picta bellii (western painted turtle). Its description in RNAcentral is "lncRNA (ENSCPBG00000003722.1)". Lineage: Eukaryota; Metazoa; Chordata; Testudines; Emydidae. The record is from RNAcentral.
UGAAAAAUGUUUGGAGGAGAAGAGGAGGCUCCAGACCUGCAUCUCUUUCUCUAUCUUUCUUCUUAUUAGUGGCAAAACCAUUCCUACUCAACCCCUCCCCUUUUUUCACAGCAUUUAUCUUUCUGGAGAGGGGAAUCACUUCGAAAUUUAAUUUCCCUUGGGAUGAGGUGAGGAAGAUAAGCAGGAAGAAGCAGGAUUUUUCUCUCCCUCUUCCCCAGAGAUUAUAAUACGGGAACAGGCCGGGCAGAGACACUGAGGCAUGUCCAGACGGGGCCACACUUUCAAUGGUGGAUGGAACUGAUCAAACUCCGGUGUGUGGACACUGCAGGAAACGGAGUGUGGCAAUGAGCUCCCAUGGAUCAGGCCCUGGGUCUAACACGCUCAGGAAACGAGCUUCCCGUCAAGUCCUAGUCCCAGCUUCCUUCACCGUUUUGAUCAUCAUCAUCGUUACUCUAGCAGCACUUUUAGCAGUGGAAAAAUCCAAACCACCUGUGGGUGCUGCUGGGCCCGGCUGCCCGGACGGCUGGAUCGGGUACCGAGGGAAAUGCUAUUAUUUCUCAGAGACUGAAGGGAACUGGACCUACAGCCAGAGCCAGUGCUCUGCACUCAGCGCCUCCCUGGCUGGAUCGACAGUGAGCAGGAAAAGGUGAGAGCGGCAGAUGCUU